Molecule: long non-coding RNA, 372 nt
Organism: Drosophila mojavensis
Lineage: Eukaryota; Metazoa; Arthropoda; Insecta; Diptera; Drosophilidae
Exons: 3
Source: RefSeq, a predicted model, not a curated record
GCAAGCCUGGCUGACUGCUGUUUGUCGAUUGAUAGAGUUGGCGUGCUCUUCUGUGACUUGCCGAACUGUGAGUUAUCCAGAAGUGAAAGACAGGCCUUGAUCUCGCCCGUGCUGUAAGGAACCGUAUUGAAUUACACAGCAUAUUGAUGAAGAUGUAGGAAAAACUUACCUGGAUAUGGUCACCAGGGUGUUAUGCAUGAAACCAAUUCCCUUAACACGAUUGUCGUGCAUCUUUAUCAUCUUGGACUGUGGAAAGAACAAAGGGGAAUCAUCAUAUGUGGCAUAGCCAUGCAAUGCAACCAUUCUCCAGACCCACCACGCAGUUCUGCUCGUCAGGCCAGGCGACACAGAUGGGCUUCGAUGUCAGUGAGA